This is a non-coding RNA of Tricladium varicosporioides, 123 nucleotides long. Lineage: Eukaryota; Fungi; Ascomycota; Leotiomycetes; Helotiales; Tricladiaceae. The record is from the annotation of a GenBank genome assembly.
GCCGGUUUGGCCCAGUGGUAAGGCAUCUGUCUCACACCAGUGGCGGCCCGUGGUUGCGGUUUUGAGCAAUCUAUGUCGGUUGACGGACACAGAAGAUCAUCAGUUCGAUCCUGAUAGCUGGCA